GACGACAGCAACCAGCCGAGUGCAGAGGCAAAAGAGGAGCUCACAUCCUGCUCUUCUUGACGGGGCCGAGCUCCUUGGCCUUGGUCCUCAGCUCGUGCUUCUUGAUCUUCCCCGUCGCCGUCUUGGGCAGCGGCCCGAACACCACCGACUUGGGCACCCAGUACCCCGGCAUCCUCUCCCUGCAGAACCGCAUGAUGUCGCCGGCCACCGCCGCCUCGUCGGAGCUGUCGGCGCCUUCCUUGAGCGUCACGAACGCGCACGGCGACUCCCCCCACUGCUCGUCCG
This 285-nucleotide unclassified non-coding RNA is filed under the name Hevea brasiliensis (rubber tree). Lineage: Eukaryota; Viridiplantae; Streptophyta; Magnoliopsida; Malpighiales; Euphorbiaceae. The record is from RNAcentral.